Molecule: ribosomal RNA, 400 nt
Filed under: phytoplankton environmental sample
Lineage: Eukaryota
Description: partial small subunit ribosomal RNA
Rfam family: Eukaryotic small subunit ribosomal RNA
Source: RNAcentral
AGCUCCAGUAGCGUAUAUUAAAGUUGUUGCAGUUAAAAAGCUCGUAGUUGGAUUUCUGGUACGCUGCGCCUGGCCGGCCCGCGUUAGCGGUGUGAGUGUCGGUGCGCGGUUGCCAUCCUUCUAGAGAACGUGUCUGCCUUUAAUUAGGUCGGACACGGGAUCUAGAUCUUUUACUUUGAAAAAAUUAGAGUGUUUAAAGCAGGCUUUUGCUAUGAAUACAUUAGCAUGGAAUAAUAAUAUAGGACUUUGGUUCUAUUUUGUUGGUUUCUAGGACUAAAGUAAUGAUUGAUAGGGAUAGUUGGGGGUGCUAGUAUUCAGCGGCCAGAGGUGAAAUUCUUGGAUUCGCUGAAGACUAACUUAUGCGAAAGCAUUCACCAAGGAUGUCUUCUUUAAUCAAGAA